Long non-coding RNA from Daphnia pulex (common water flea), 665 nucleotides. RefSeq lists it as uncharacterized. The record is from RefSeq and is a predicted model, not a curated record. The transcript is spliced from 2 exons. NCBI's taxonomy places the organism in Eukaryota, Metazoa, Arthropoda, Branchiopoda, Diplostraca, Daphniidae.
GUCAUCACGCGAUCUCAUUGAACGAAUUAGUAUAUAAGGACAGUCGCGGUCCAUCGAAAAAUCAUCAGUCUGCACAUCAGUCAACCUGAGAAAUAUUCUCCACUGAAAAAGCCAACGAGUUCCAGAUAGGAAACACUAAAAAUGGCCAAAUACUUGUCGUUGACUAUUUUGUUGGUUAUUGGAUUGGUGGCUGCCUCGUUGAGCUCUCCAGUUGCUUCCGGUUCCGAUCAGGAUCAACUUCCUGAAACCGAUAUGGACGGCAGUGAAUUCUUCCAUUCGCCAUACCACCGGGCUGUUGGCGCUGGAUUCGGUUACGACUUCGGCUACCCUUUGAACCUGCCUUACGGUGGACCCGGAUUUGGUGCUCUGCCCGGCGUUUACCCGGGGGUCCACCCAGGUGUCAUCCCGCAGCACCCAUUUUUCUAUCACAAAUGAGUCAACGUCCAUUGACUUGAACCGACCAACAAAACAAAAAAAUGGUUUUUUAGAUUUGAAAUUCAUCGUCGACUUCCGCACCCAUUUUAUUACAAUAUUCAUAUACCAUCCCACUCACUUUUUGUUUCGAAAUGGCAUACCGUAAUAUCCUUCUUUUCCGUUCUUUGCAAUCCUUAUAUACGCCUCGUUAAUAAUCAACCACGAUUUCAAAUAAUACAAUUUCGGCAUUA